CGAACAGCUCUUCGUGAAGAUAAACAGCUCUUCAACAAGUAGUAAUUUAAUGGGGGAUUCACAACAAGGAAAUAACAAAGGAAAGGGCAAAGAGAAAGAGAACUAUGAAUCUUGGACCAUGGACAAUAUCAAUGAGUUGUUGCACCUCUUGGUGGAUGC
Prunus avium (sweet cherry) is the source of this 159-nucleotide non-coding RNA. NCBI's taxonomy places the organism in Eukaryota, Viridiplantae, Streptophyta, Magnoliopsida, Rosales, Rosaceae. The record is from RefSeq and is a predicted model, not a curated record.